UCAAUAAGCUUUCUCUCUCCUUCCUUCACCAGAGCUGGACUCAAGGUUUUGCAUGUGACUUAUAUCUGAAAGAGUGUGAACAGAAGAAGCAUCGUGCUCUUGAGAAGUACAGGAGGGAACAAAAAAACAAUGCAGCAAAGAGGCAAGAGAUAGUUCAGCUGAAAAAGAAGAUUCAAAAACUCAAAUUUAGGCAAGAAGAACUACAGAAAAAGAUUGGGAAGUACAAAAGGUUUGAAGAGUUCUUGCAAAAAAUAUUUGAUGCAUUGCCCUCCACUGAAUAUGGCUAUCUGGCAUAUGGAGAAGACUCUCUGAUUAAAACCCUUAUAAAAAGGCACAGGACUCUGGUGACGGAAAAGGAACGUUUGCUAAGGAAAUUGUCUGUUCAGCAAUAUAGCCUUCAGGAAACCCUACAUGAAUUUCGGGUCUUACAAGAAGAAUACAACACUGCCCAAUACAUGGUGAUGGCUAAAGUUUCUGAACUUCAGUCAAAGUACAAUGAAUUGCAAACAAAAAACACAGACUUGAUGCAGUUUAUUAACACUAAAGAAGAUCUCCUCACCAAGCGGUGCCAAGAACUAAGCCGUAUGCUGUUGGCAGUCUCCGGUUUGGCAGAGCAGUGCUAUAUGAGGCAUUAUGGUGCUUUGCAGGAAAUGACACUGUGGUCCAAGCUGAGCAUGAUCCAGGAGUUCAUUCUGGAAAAAAUGCAGAUCAAAGAGGAAACAAUGUCAUUAAUCAAGGCUGGAAAGUCAUCCAUUACUCUUCUUAAAGAACAACUUCCAAAGCAAAAAUAUAGUGGUAGAGUAUUGCUACAUGCAGACAGGUCUCCGGAAGAAGAGAUGGUAUAAGAGCCACCUGGGAAAGUAGCAAACAUUUCUGAGAGACAACACUGUGGACAAGUGGAAUGUUAUUACUCCAAUGUUUGUAGAACAGCACAGAUGGAAGUGAAUACAUUGCCAAAAAAGCUUUUAGGGGCAGAGAAGAAAAACCUUUCAUGCUGGAUUUUUGCAAAUAUGUUUGGGUUUUGCUGUUUUCAUGCUAUUUUCAUGCUCUUUCCCUUGUUUUCUGUGUCUGGGAAACACUACAAUACAAUACUAUUUCGUUAGUAUGUAUGUUUCCCAUUAUGGGAUAUUCUAGUAUAUAGGCUGUUUUGUGUAUAAAAUGGGGCAAAUGACUAUGAGUUUCCACAUGCUGUCUAUAAGGUAUACAGUGGUGCCUCGCUUAACAACCUUAAUUCGUUCCAACGAAAUUGCUGUAGAGCUAAAACGUCGUAAAGCGAAAAUAAAACCCGGCUAAUGCAUUCUAGAAGGCUUAAA
RNAcentral lists this long non-coding RNA (1313 nucleotides) under Pogona vitticeps (central bearded dragon). RNAcentral describes it as "lncRNA (ENSPVIG00000003220.1)". Lineage: Eukaryota; Metazoa; Chordata; Lepidosauria; Squamata; Agamidae. The record is from RNAcentral.